GACGAACGCUGGCGGCGUGCUUAACACAUGCAAGUCGAACGGAAAGGCCCUGCUUUUGUGGGGUGCUCGAGUGGCGAACGGGUGAGUAACACGUGAGUAACCUGCCCUUGACUUUGGGAUAACUUCAGGAAACUGGGGCUAAUACCGGAUAGGAGCUCCUGCUGCAUGGUGGGGGUUGGAAAGUUUCGGCGGGUGGGGAUGGACUCGCGGCUUAUCAGCUUGUUGGUGGGGUAGUGGCUUACCAAGGCUUUGACGGGUAGCCGGCCUGAGAGGGUGACCGGCCACAUUGGGACUGAGAUACGGCGCAGACUCCUACGGGAGACAGCAGUGGGGAAUAUUGCACAAUGGGCGGAAGCCUGAUGCAGCAACGCCGCGGGCGGGAUGACGGCCUUCGGGUUGUAAACCGCUUUCGCCUGUGACGAAGCGUGAGUGACGGUAAUGGGUAAAGAAGCACCGGCUAACUACGUG
RNAcentral lists this ribosomal RNA (468 nucleotides) under uncultured bacterium. Its description in RNAcentral is "partial 16S ribosomal RNA". It matches the Rfam family "Bacterial small subunit ribosomal RNA", at positions 28 to 507 of the family's 1533-position model. The record is from RNAcentral.